This 938-nucleotide ribosomal RNA is filed under the name human gut metagenome. RNAcentral describes it as "bacterial SSU rRNA". It matches the Rfam family "Bacterial small subunit ribosomal RNA", at positions 107 to 1083 of the family's 1533-position model. The record is from RNAcentral.
UGAGUAACACGUGGGAACAUACCUUGAAGUGGGGGACAACAGUUGGAAACGACUGCUAAUACCGCAUAAUCCCUGAGGGGGAAAGAUUUAUCGCUUUAAGAUUGGCCCGCGGAAGAUUAGGUAGUUGGUGGGGUAAAGGCCUACCAAGCCGACGAUCUAUAGCUGGUCUGAGAGGACGAACAGCCACAUUGGAACUGAGACACGGUCCAGACUCCUACGGGAGGCAGCAGUGAGGAAUAUUGGGCAAUGGAGGAAACUCUGACCCAGCCAUGCCGCGUGAGUGAAGAAGGUUUUCGAAUUGUAAAGCUCUUUCGGAUGGGACGAUGAUGACGGUACCAUCUAAAGAAGCCCCGGCAAACUUCGUGCCAGCAGCCGCGGUAAUACGAAGGGGGCAAGCGUUGUUCGGAAUUACUGGGCGUAAAGGGUGUGUAGGCGGAUUUGUAAGAUAGUGGUGAAAUACCUGAGCUCAACUUAGGAAUUGCCAUUAUAACUAUAGAUCUGGAGUGACGGAGAGGAUAUUGGAAUACCCAGUGUAGAGGUGAAAUUCGUAGAUAUUGGGUAGAACACCAGUGGCGAAGGCGAGUAUCUGGACUGUAACUGACGCUGAGGCACGAAAGCAUGGGGAGCAAACAGGAUUAGAUACCCUGGUAGUCCAUGCUGUAAACGAUGAAUGCUAGUUGUCGGCAAAAGCCGGUGACGCAGUUAACGCGAUAAGCAUUCCGCCUGGGGAGUACGGUCGCAAGAUUAAAACUCAAAGGAAUUGACGGGGACCCGCACAAGCGGUGGAGCAUGUGGUUUAAUUCGAUGCAACGCGAAGAACCUUACCAACUCUUGACAUCCUCAUCGGGGCUUUCAGAGAUGAGAGCUUUCAGUUAGGCUGGAUGAGUGACAGAUGCUGCAUGGCUGUCGUCAGCUCGUGUCGUGAGAUGUUGGGUUAA